CCUACGGGUGGCAGCAGUGAGGAAUAUUGGUCAAUGGGCGGGAGCCUGAACCAGCCAAGCCGCGUGAAGGAAGAAGGCGCCAGGCGUCGUAAACUUCUUUUGUCGGGGAACAAAGGGCGCCACGCGUGGCGUUGUGAGUGUACCCGAAGAAAACGCAUCGGCUAACUAGGUGCCAGCAGCCGCGGUAAUCCGGAGGAUGCGAGCGUAAUCCGGUUUUAUUGGGUUAAAGGGGUGCGUAGGAGGUCCGGAAAGUCAGCGGGAAAAGCCCGGGGCCAAACCCCGGCGCGCCGUUGAAACUGUGGGACUAGAGACGGCGAGAGGCACGCGGAAUGCGCGGUGUAGCGGUGAAAUGCAUAGAUAUCGCGCAGAACACCGGUUGCGAAGGCAGCGUACCGGCGCCGGACUGACGCUGAGGCACGAAAGCGUGGGUAGCGAACAGGAUUAGAUACCCGAGUAGUC
RNAcentral lists this ribosomal RNA (459 nucleotides) under uncultured bacterium. Its description in RNAcentral is "partial 16S ribosomal RNA". It matches the Rfam family "Bacterial small subunit ribosomal RNA", at positions 338 to 795 of the family's 1533-position model. The record is from RNAcentral.